GACCUCGUAGCUCAGUUGGAUAGAGCGGCGGUUUCCUAAACCGCAGGCCACAGGUUCGAUUCCUGUCGGGGUCA
Molecule: transfer RNA, 74 nt
Filed under: Corallococcus terminator
Lineage: Bacteria; Pseudomonadati; Myxococcota; Myxococcia; Myxococcales; Myxococcaceae
Also listed under: 11 other names
Description: tRNA-Arg
Rfam family: tRNA
About the family: Transfer RNA (tRNA) molecules are approximately 80 nucleotides in length. Their secondary structure includes four short double-helical elements and three loops (D, anti-codon, and T loops).
Source: RNAcentral